RNAcentral lists this long non-coding RNA (1780 nucleotides) under Salvator merianae (Argentine black and white tegu). RNAcentral's name for it is "lncRNA (ENSSMRG00000001097.1)". The record is from RNAcentral. Lineage: Eukaryota; Metazoa; Chordata; Lepidosauria; Squamata; Teiidae.
CCCAGGUCGCCGAUGCGAUUAUUAAUCAAUAAAGCGAUGGGGCUGGAGCGGAGAGCAGGCUGCAUGCACGCAGCAGGCCAAGGAAGCGGGAAAGAAAGACCCCCGCCCGUCGCUUCCCCUGCAGCUGGACCGGACGGGGAAAAGACCCAGCCCAGGCCGCCCACUCGGACGUAAGCUUCCGGCGUGCGCCUCCGAGCCCGCGCCGCCAGAGGGCGCAGCGCCCGGCCGGUGCGGCGGCGGCGGCGCUGCUGCUGCUUGUGUUUAGUUUUUCCCUGCAGAUGCGUGCCAGGGGUGGGGGCAGAAAAAGUCACAGCGGGCGAGGCGGGUCUCUCGGGGGGAGGCGAGAGGCGGCUGUUGCCGCAGAGGGGCGGCCUUGCCCUGCUCGGCUGGCUGACCCUUUCCCCCUGCUCGCGUGCCUCUUCCUUCCUCCGAGGCUCUUCGGAUUUCCAAGCAGCAUCCUCGGCAGGAGAGCGCAGGCGGAGAGGGACCACGCGCACUCAGAAGCUGCGGACGCGGACCUGCCGGAGAACGGGAAGGAGGCGUGGCUGCCUCAACCCCCGCCUGCGUAUUGGUCAGUUUCAAGCUUCGGGGCGGCGCCUGCAACGCGGGAAAGAUAAGAUUUGCAGAAGUUCCGCGCGCCGCCGGCACUGUCGUCUCCCCCACUGUCAUCGCUUGGUUUUUAGGCUUUGGGGAGCCCGUCCCCCUCGAUUUAACGCGGAUGCAUAAAGUGAUGAAUCCCCUGAAGGCUUGAGGCCAAUUGCUGAUGAAACAGAAAGGCAAAGGCUGUUUGGAGAAAAACCAUGAAACCUGUGAUGUCUGGCUGGAUACUUCAGCCCUCAAAAGGCGCAAGAAGCAGAUCCAAACAUGGAAGCCAUUAAGAACAGCGAAACAGACUUUUCCUUGUUCCAUUUCAAGAGAAUCAUCAUCUCUGUGCACUAAACAAACCACCAUACCCACCUUCUUCAGAGUUCAAAGAGAAGAGAAGAAAACCAUUGCACAGAAAAUGGUACAGGAGACUGCAUCGAACAGCAUGUCUGUGGUGAAAGAACAUGCGCUGCUAAACGUGAAAAUAAAACCCUUGUCAGCCUCACCACUUCAGACAGGAAUUGCACAAGAAGACAGCCAGCAACCAGGUCACAAUUCACAAAGCCUGCCAGUGUUGCUCCGUAGUUCUGCUUGUGCUAGAGCCACAAAUAACACCCACUUCCCCUUCUUUAUUAAGGAAAACAGUUGCUUUACAGACAGGGGAAAUCCUCUCUUAGAUUUCAGUCAGGGCCUAGAAGAAAAGAUGGUUCCUGAUAACAAAACUGUUUCUAGUUCGCCACGGAGAAACGAAAACAGAGAUCGGAAAAAAGACGUUCCCAGAACAUCUCAGACUAACCGACACCUGAAAGCACUCUCAAAAAAGAGAACAAAGGUUCGAAGAGGACGCAGGUAUUUGAUCCCUUACAGUGACAGCAGCUUUAUGGAUUCCUGUGACUCUGAAAAUAUAAACCCCCAGUUACAGCAAAGUCUGGUAGAAUUAAGCCCUUUGAAAAGUUGCAGCAGUUCUGCGGUUGACCUCUGUUUGAAAAACAGCAGUGCAAUUCAUGAUGGUGGCAAAGGCCAAGACAACCACCAGGAAGAUUCACUGAACCCUUCCUUAUUCACUCAGGACAGCGAGGGCCAACGGGUGAUUUCUCACCGCUGUUUCCAGGGACGCGACAAACUUUCUUUGCAAAAUAAGCUUCUCUGGGACACAAGCAACUUGCUAAUGAACCCGAGAGAAGGUCCCAGGUAG